This 428-nucleotide ribosomal RNA is filed under the name uncultured bacterium. Its description in RNAcentral is "partial 16S ribosomal RNA". It matches the Rfam family "Bacterial small subunit ribosomal RNA", at positions 354 to 796 of the family's 1533-position model. The record is from RNAcentral.
GUGGGGAAUAUUGGGCAAUGGGCGCAAGCCUGACCCAGCAACGCCGCGUGAAGGAAGAAGGCUUUCGGGUUGUAAACUUCUUUUACCAGGGACGAAACAAAUGACGGUACCUCAUGAAUAAGCCACGGCUAACUACGUGCCAGCAGCCGCGGUAAUACGUAGGUGGCGAGCGUUGUCCGGAUUUACUGGGUGUAAAGGGCGCGUAGGCGGACUGGCAAGUCAGAUGUGAAAUACAGGGGCUCAACCCCUGAACUGCAUUUGAAACUGUUGGUCUUGAGUAUCGGAGAGGCAAGCGGAAUUCCUAGUGUAGCGGUGAAAUGCGUAGAUAUUAGGAGGAACACCAGUGGCGAAGGCGGCUUGCUGGACGACAACUGACGCUGAGGCGCGAAAGCGUGGGGAGCAAACAGGAUUAGAUACCCUUGUAGUCC